This 253-nucleotide ribosomal RNA is filed under the name uncultured bacterium. RNAcentral's name for it is "partial 16S ribosomal RNA". It matches the Rfam family "Bacterial small subunit ribosomal RNA", at positions 524 to 776 of the family's 1533-position model. The record is from RNAcentral.
UACGGGGGGUGCGAGCGUUGUCCGGAAUCACUGGGCGUAAAGGGCGCGUAGGUGGUUUGAUAAGGGUGUGGUGAAAGUCCGGAGCUCAACUCCGGAUCUGCCGUGCCGACUGUCAAACUCGAGGGCUGUAGAGGCAGACGGAAUUCCGGGUGUAGCGGUGGAAUGCGUAGAGAUCCGGAGGAAGACCGGUGGCGAAGGCGGUCUGCUGGGCAGUUUCUGACACUGAGGCGCGACAGCGUGAGGAGCAAACAGG